GAAAUUCGUUUUUUAAAACAUGGAAUUAUCCUUGACAUUACACUUUAAAGAUUAAAUUAAUAAAUAUUCCGCGUGUAUUAUAUUUGCAACAGUCUGCGAAAAGUAUUUUUUUUCUAAAUUGUCAAAGUAAUAUCGAUUAUCCUUAGGACGGCCAGCUUAGCACAAUAGGGAGAGUGCAGAUCUACGGAUCGCGGGGUCGUGAGUUCGAGCCCUGGGCGUAUGUUGUCCGUGGCGAUUUGACAAAAUACAUUGUGUCUGAUACCAUUCGUCCUCCACCUCUGAUUUGUGUUGGGAAUUUGGCAGUUACUUGCGGAGAACAUGGUUUGUAGUGGUAAAGAAUCCAGGAACACUGGUGAGGUUCACUAUCCGCCGUUACAUAACUAAAAUACAAAAAAAAGGACGCCAGGCAUAAUGUUUCACAAUCUCGACAGGCAUGCGUAUGUUUAUGACAACACAGAUAAUCAAAUCUUAAAUUUCCAUGUAAAUAUUAUUAGAUUCGGUUCAGUAAUAAGAAAGUUGAUAUUUUCUAAAUUUUAGUAAUUUAUGUUUUUAUCCCAAGAACCACUAUAACGGGCCUUAAAUUGUCAAAUUCAAAUCCGCGCCAAAGUAGUCGCAUUUCCCGGUUAUAUCGUCAUUCCCGUGGAAAUCGUCAAAUUUCACGGCUAUGUAAUGAGUCCCGUGUAAAUCCAAUAUUUCGCGGGACAUAACCCUACAAAUAGAAUGGACUAGAUAUCUUUAGUACACACCAUCUUCGACUGUUAGACGAAAUUAUGUCACUUUGAUUUCUUGGUUGAAAAUUUUUGCUCGAUCGAGGGGAAGCAUGAAAACUGGUGUAUGGCAAUUCUUUCAGCAAAACACCUAUACCUUUGUGAGCCUGUCAAAAUAUUUUGUUGAUACAAAGAGAUAUAAAUUACUUGCAGAUUUAUUUAUUCGGCUGAAUGGGGACAACAGUAAUCAAAUGUGUACGCCAUUUAUUUAGCAAACAUACUGAACAGAUGUGAAUAUACAUGUCAGUUCGACAGUGAACAGGCGCUGUUGGUAUUUUUCGAUUUAAACGAUGAUAAAUCUUUUAAUAUAUACAGCAUGAGAAUAAGCAGUCUAUCGUGUGGUUAGACAAUACUUGUACAACAGGCGCCAAGAAACUAUUAUUUAUUGUGCUUAUAAGACCUGUCCUCACUGAAAAUACUGUUAAUAACCCAAACAUCAGUACUGAUUUCAUGUCGACAUUGUACAAUGAUCAUCGAACAGAACGCAUUUCCACGGAACACUUGAUUAAGCAAUGGUCCAUGUUGAUGCUAUUUCUUUAAAGGAAAAGUGUCAAUAAUCUGCAACCAAUUUAACUGCUGUGCAACAAACUUGAAGAAAGGCGUAAAGAUGUAGUUUUGUUUUUAUUUUGUAUUUAUUAGGUUUAUAAAGAAGAGCUUUAACGUAUCAGUCAUUUUGCUUGUCAAAGGUUUCGCAUUUCCAGACCACGUGAUCUAAAAGGCGGUGCGAUCGGACGUUUGUUGACUGGUCAAUUUAUGAUGUCAUAUUUAUAAUCUUGACGG
Mercenaria mercenaria is the source of this 1547-nucleotide long non-coding RNA. RefSeq lists it as uncharacterized. The transcript is spliced from 3 exons. NCBI's taxonomy places the organism in Eukaryota, Metazoa, Mollusca, Bivalvia, Venerida, Veneridae. The record is from RefSeq and is a predicted model, not a curated record.